Molecule: long non-coding RNA, 223 nt
Filed under: Solanum tuberosum (potato)
Lineage: Eukaryota; Viridiplantae; Streptophyta; Magnoliopsida; Solanales; Solanaceae
Description: long non-coding RNA (STUB_LNC009965)
Source: RNAcentral
GGUCUCGAUCACUGAUCUCCUAGCUGAGGUCUAUCAAUAGCCACCUGAAGAUGUCUUGUACUCAACAAAGAACAAGCAAGUGCAGUAUUAAUACACAACCACUGUGUAUUGGUAGGAUCACACGACUAUUCAAGUAAGUGAAACAUAUAUAGAAUGUCACAACAUAGUAAACAUGACAUGCACAGAAUAUAUACACGGUUAUCAUUUCAAGAUUAAUGUACAA